AAAAAAUUAGUUAAAUUAUAACAUUAAAAUGUCAUUUUAAAAUUAUUUAAAAAUUAAAAUAUUUUUUA
Molecule: transfer RNA, 68 nt
Filed under: Diadegma fenestrale
Lineage: Eukaryota; Metazoa; Arthropoda; Insecta; Hymenoptera; Ichneumonidae
Description: tRNA-Asp
Source: RNAcentral